UUAAAGUUCAUAAAAGAAUCCAUACUGGGGAGAGGCCCUAUGAAUGUGAUGUGUGUGGAAAAGCCUACAUCUCACACUCAAGCCUUAUUAACCAUAAGAGUACCCACCCUGGCAGGACACCCCAUACAUGUGAUGAAUGUGGAAAAGCUUUUUUCUCAAGCAGAACUCUUAUAAGCCAUAAAAGAGUCCAUCUUGGGGAGAAACCCUUCAAGUGUGUUGAGUGUGGGAAAUCUUUCAGUUACAGCUCUCUCCUUUCUCAGCACAAGAGGAUCCACACAGGGGAGAAACCCUAUGUGUGUGAUAGGUGUGGGAAGGCCUUCAGGAACAGCUCAGGCCUCACAGUGCAUAAAAGGAUCCACACAGUUUCAGAUGAACUCCCAUAAUGAAUGAUGAAUUUGUGAUGAGGGAUAACCUGGAAGUGGUAUUCACACAUUAUGCUACAAUAAAAGGUUCUACCGUGGAGAGGAUUUUGACACAUUCAGUAACUAAUGGAACACACCGUCAACAUGAAUUCGCAC
This 518-nucleotide long non-coding RNA is filed under the name Homo sapiens (human). Its description in RNAcentral is "non-protein coding lnc-ZFP62-2:3". The record is from RNAcentral. Lineage: Eukaryota; Metazoa; Chordata; Mammalia; Primates; Hominidae.